Molecule: long non-coding RNA, 795 nt
Filed under: Rattus norvegicus (Norway rat)
Lineage: Eukaryota; Metazoa; Chordata; Mammalia; Rodentia; Muridae
Description: long non-coding RNA NONRATT021135
Source: RNAcentral
CUGACUUCGCUCCCUCUCUCCCGGAUCCUGGCACUGUUAUCUCAAGAAAUGGCUUCUACAGAACAAAUAAACAACUGUUCUUCCUCUUGUCUUGAAAAUACAUCCACGGCAAGAGUUCCUGAAAAGGGAGGAAGGGUGACUUAUCCAGCAGCCCAGCUGGGGGACUCCUUGAACUACAGCCAGAAGCUCGGCGCUCCGACCCAAGGAUUAGUCUCUGGAGAAUGGAGAGGAACCUCUGGGUCUGGGGAGAAGGUCUCAGCUUUGUCCUGGCACCAGGCACUUAGUUUUCCACCAAGUUUAUAUUACGCUAGCCAGAGAGAUGUUUGGCAAUGUUUUAUGGCUCAAAUAUUUCUGCCAGCAUCUUUUUAGGCCAAGCAAUUAGUAGUUGCUUUCUCUUUGCCGAAGUAAUGGUGUAUAAAUCUGAAACUGGAAUAUGUUUCCUUAAAGUAAGGAGAAAGAAGAUAACUACCACGUUCAAAUCGGGGGUUUCCUCGAGAUUGGUGACUGCGUAUUCUGCAUUAUGACUGAAGAUCCGACCUCCGCUUCCUUGUGAGGUGGCGUGGCUCUCCUUUGCCGCGUAGGAAGUUGGGGAAGUGGCCUCACCAGUGUGCUCCAGCUCGUGUCCUAACAGAGAGCCAUGGCUAUUGACAGGGAGGAGAGUCUUCCCAGCUGCUAAUGGAGCAGACCGUACGCACAGCAAGGCAGCCGUGUGUGGAGAAAGAGUAGCCGUGACCCAAGAUCCCAUCUUUCCCUCACUCCAAGACGGAGAAGCCCGUGCGUGAUGGCUGGGUAAAG